Molecule: ribosomal RNA, 333 nt
Filed under: Triticum aestivum (bread wheat)
Lineage: Eukaryota; Viridiplantae; Streptophyta; Magnoliopsida; Poales; Poaceae
Description: partial small subunit ribosomal RNA
Source: RNAcentral
AUGGCAGCACGUGAGUGUAGGGAGACGGGCGCAUACCAAGAAGUGAAUCAUGACCUUGCUGAGAAGGUGAUGGACACACCGAAUAGUCGGCAUUCAGCGUCAAUAGCUUCUCAUGAUGGAACCAGUGGCACUUUAGAUUUGAAGAGUCACAUGAGCUCUUGUGGUGCUAGGCAUGCACCAAUAGGCCCAAAGCAACAAAAGUUAAGGUUGAGAAAGGUUGAUGAUGGAAACGCCAAUUUGGAGAAUAUUAUUUUUGAUCAAGAUGUUGCCAGGAAAGAGCUUCCACUAAUGAUUUGUGUUCAUGAGUACCCUCUAUCUAUGGUUGGUCACUUG